Long non-coding RNA from Rhea pennata, 1181 nucleotides. RefSeq lists it as uncharacterized. The record is from RefSeq and is a predicted model, not a curated record. The transcript is spliced from 3 exons. NCBI's taxonomy places the organism in Eukaryota, Metazoa, Chordata, Aves, Rheiformes, Rheidae.
UGCCUGGUCACUGUUCUGCUCGCAGAAGGACUAGGGAACAUCAGGGGAAGCGGAGUGCCACAAGAACAGUCAACAAAUGCUAAAAUUUUAUUACACGAACAAUAUGACCUGUUUCAGAGGCAUAUUUGAACAGGAAUUGGAAAUUUCUUGCAUAACUGAUGGAGAUGUUGUUUUGGCUAUAUAAACUGCCAUUCCAGUCAGAGAAGAGCUGGCUUGCAGAAGACAUUCUUCGAUGUCAUUUGUCUAACACUAAAAAAACGAAGUUAUUGUAUCACCUACCAGAUCUGGAUUGCAGUUCUGGCUGCUCCAUGUUAUUAAACACACUGCUUGUGGCAAUAUGUAAUGACACAUAUCAGCAUAAACAAAGGAAUAAAAACUGUAUCACGUGAGAUCUCUGAAGGAGCUGAGACAGUUUCCUAAGCGAGUAUUUCUUCAAUUAUCUCGGUUCCCUCCCCUUUUCUUCUGCUCUGCAAUUGAGUGAUUUGAAUUCAAAUACGUGCUGGCACAAAGUUGGUGGGACUUGAAUAAAUCAUCUGUCUUGUUGCCUGAAAAUAUACAUCCUCCUCCUUUAGAGAAAUGACUUGGGAAGCAAUUGCAUACUGUAGCCAGUGUUAUCCUCUGUCCCAUAUAUUCUUUCUGACCCAGCACAGAUUUCACCUGCUAACAGUUUUCUUUCUGUCUGCACAAUUCUUUCUGAAGGAAGAGCAGUGGGUGAAGUAUAUCUGUUCUUGGAGAUCCUCAAAAGCUGAGCUUCUAGAAUUGGGGAAGUUACACUGGUCAAGUUGUUCUUCACAUGCCUGUUAGUUGUAGCAGUACAGAAGAUGUAUUUUACUACACCUUAGGUUUUAUUAAAGGGAAACUGGAUGUAAUCUGUUCUGCUCCUGUACAGUUAUUUGCCUUCCUGCCUGCCUGUCUUCCUUCUCUCUGUCUCUCUUUUUCUGUGUGUGUGAAUGUGUGUGUGUGUGUGUGUGUGUUUACAAAUGCAAAGGCAGUAAGUAGCAUACCUGCUACUGCAAUGGAUUUUUUUUCCUUUAGCUCUGCAUAAUUUCUGCAGCAUGUAUAUAAGUGGAAUUGAGCUUAAGAGCACUUAGAAUUCAACUAGCUGUUUCUAUAUUUAAUAAAUAAUAACCCUGCCACGAAAUUGUAAUUGGCAUUAAAAAGUCCUGCAAUUCAUCUGACAA